Molecule: ribosomal RNA, 460 nt
Filed under: uncultured bacterium
Lineage: Bacteria
Description: partial 16S ribosomal RNA
Rfam family: Bacterial small subunit ribosomal RNA
Source: RNAcentral
CCUACGGGAGGCUGCAGUGAGGAAUAUUGGUCAAUGGACGAGAGUCUGAACCAGCCAAGUAGCGUGAAGGCUGACUGCCCUAUGUGUUGUAAACUUCUUUUAUAUGGGAAUAAAAUGUUCCACGUGUGGGAUUUUGUAUGUACCAUAUGCAUAAGGAUCGGCUAACUCCGUGCCAGCAGCCGCGGUAAUACGGAGGAUCCGAGCGUUAUCCGGAUUUAUUGGGUUUAAAGGGAGCGUAGGUGGAUUGUUAAGUCAGUUGUGAAAGUUUGCGGCUCAACCGUAAAAUUGCAGUUGAAACUGGCAGUCUUGAGUACAGUAGAGGUGGGCGGAAUUCGUGGUGUAGCGGUGAAAUGCUUAGAUAUCACGAAGAACUCCGAUUGCGAAGGCAGUUCACUGGACUGCAACUGACACUGAGGCUCGAAAGUGUGGGUAUCAAACAGGAUUAGAUACCCCGUUAGUC